AAAUUGAAGAGUUUGAUCAUGGCUCAGAUUGAACGCUGGCGGCAGGCCUAACACAUGCAAGUCGAACGGUAACAGGAAGCAGCUUGCUGUUUCGCUGACGAGUGGCGGACGGGUGAGUAAUGUCUGGGAAACUGCCUGAUGGAGGGGGAUAACUACUGGAAACGGUAGCUAAUACCGCAUAACGUCGCAAGACCAAAGAGGGGGACCUUCGGGCCUCUUGCCAUCGGAUGUGCCCAGAUGGGAUUAGCUAGUAGGUGGGGUAACGGCUCACCUAGGCGACGAUCCCUAGCUGGUC
This 295-nucleotide ribosomal RNA is filed under the name Shigella flexneri. RNAcentral describes it as "partial 16S ribosomal RNA". It matches the Rfam family "Bacterial small subunit ribosomal RNA", at positions 1 to 292 of the family's 1533-position model. Lineage: Bacteria; Pseudomonadati; Pseudomonadota; Gammaproteobacteria; Enterobacterales; Enterobacteriaceae. The record is from RNAcentral.